GACGAACGUUUGCGGCGUGCUUAACACAUGCAAGUCGAACGGAAAGGCCCUGCUUUUGUGGGGUGCUCGAGUGGCGAACGGGUGAGUAACACGUGAGUAACCUGCCCUUGACUUUGGGAUAACUUCAGGAAACUGGGGCUAAUACCGGAUAGGAGCUCCUGCUGCAUGGUGGGGGUUGGAAAGUUUCGGCGGUUGGGGAUGGACUCGCGGCUUAUCAGCUUGUUGGUGGGGUAGUGGCUUACCAAGGCUUUGACGGGUAGCCGGCCUGAGAGGGUGACCGGCCACAUUGGGACUGAGAUACGGCCCAGACUCCUACGGGAGGCAGCAGUGGGGAAUAUUGCACAAUGGGCGGAAGCCUGAUGCAACAACGCCGCGUGCGGGAUGACGGCCUUCGGGUUGUAAACCGCUUUCGCCUGUGACGAAGCGUGAGUGACGGUAAUGGGUAAAGAAGCACCGGCUAACUACGUGCCAGCAGCCGCGGUGAUACGUAGGGUGCGAGCGUUGUCCGGAUUUAUUGGGCGUAAGGGGCUCGUAGGUGGUUGAUCGCGUCGGAAGUGUAAUCUUGGGGCUUAACCCUGAGCGUGCUUUCGAUACGGGUUGACUUGAGGAAGGUAGGGGAGAAUGGAAUUCCUGGUGGAGCGGUGGAAUGCGCAGAUAUCAGGAGGAACACCAGUGGCGAAGGCGGUUCUCUGGGCCUUUCCUGACGCUGAGGAGCGAAAGCGUGGGGAGCGAACAGGCUUAGAUACCCUGGUAGUCCACGCUGUAAACGGUGGGUACUAGGUGUGGGGUCCAUUCCACGGGUUCCGUGCCGUAGCUAACGCUUUAAGUACCCCGCCUGGGGAGUACGGCCGCAAGGCUAAAACUCAAAGGAAUUGACGGGGCCCCGCACAAGCGGCGGAGCAUGCGGAUUAAUUCGAUGCAACGCGUAGAACCUUACCUGGGUUUGACAUGGAUCGGGAGUGCUCAGAGAUGGGUGUGCCUCUUUUGGGGUCGGUUCACAGGUGGUGCAUGGCUGUCGUCAGCUCGUGUCGUGAGAUGUUGGGUUAAGUCCCGCAACGAGCGCAACCCUUGUUCACUGUUGCCAGCACGUUAUGGUGGGGACUCAGUGGAGACCGCCGGGGUCAACUCGGAGGAAGGUGGGGAUGACGUCAAGUCAUCAUGCCCCUUAUGUCCAGGGCUUCACGCAUGCUACAAUGGCUGGUACAGAGAGUGGCGAGCCUGUGAGGGUGAGCGAAUCUCGGAAAGCCGGUCUCAGUUCGGAUUGGGGUCUGCAACUCGACCUCAUGAAGUCGGAGUCGCUAGUAAUCGCAGAUCAGCAACGCUGCGGUGAAUACGUUCCCGGGGCU
Molecule: ribosomal RNA, 1346 nt
Filed under: uncultured bacterium
Lineage: Bacteria
Description: partial 16S ribosomal RNA
Rfam family: Bacterial small subunit ribosomal RNA
Source: RNAcentral